GACGAACGCUGGCGGCGUGCUUAACACAUGCAAGUCGAACGGAAAGGCCCUGCUUUUGUUCGGUUCUCGUGUGGCGAACGGGUGAGUAACACGUGAGUAACCUGCCCUUGACUUUGUGGUAACUUCUGGAAACUGGGGCUAAUACCGGAUAGGAUCUCCUGCUGCAUGGUGUGGGUUGGAAAGUUUCGGCGUUUGUGGAUGUACUCGCGGCUUAUCAGCUGGGUGGUGAGGUAGGGGCUUACCAAGGCUUUGACGGGUAGCCGGCCUGGGAGGGUGACCGGCGACAUUGGGACUGAGGGAGGGCCCAGACUGGUACGGGAGGCAGUGGUGGGGAAUAUUGCGCAAUGAGCGGACGCGUGAGGCAGAAGCGCCGCGUUCGGAAUGACGGGCUUCUGGUGGUAAACCGCUUUCGACGGAGACGAAGCGUGAGUGACGGUAAUGGGUAAAGAAGCACCGGCUAACUACGUG
RNAcentral lists this ribosomal RNA (468 nucleotides) under uncultured bacterium. RNAcentral describes it as "partial 16S ribosomal RNA". It matches the Rfam family "Bacterial small subunit ribosomal RNA", at positions 28 to 507 of the family's 1533-position model. The record is from RNAcentral.